Molecule: ribosomal RNA, 256 nt
Filed under: uncultured bacterium
Lineage: Bacteria
Description: partial 16S ribosomal RNA
Rfam family: Bacterial small subunit ribosomal RNA
Source: RNAcentral
GAUCAUGGCUCAGGACGAACGCUGGCGGCGCGCCUAACACAUGCAAGUCGAACGGAGCUUAGAGAGCUUGCUUUUUAAGCUUAGUGGCGAACGGGUGAGUAACGCGUGAGUAACCUGCCCUAGAGUGGGGGACAACAGUUGGAAACGACUGCUAAUACCGCAUAAGCCCACGGUACCGCAUGGUACUGAGGGAAAAGGAUUUAUUCGCUUUAGGAUGGACUCGCGUCCAAUUAGGUAGUUGGUGAGGUAACGGCCC